This 159-nucleotide ribosomal RNA is filed under the name Peltigera monticola. Its description in RNAcentral is "5.8S ribosomal RNA". It matches the Rfam family "5.8S ribosomal RNA". Rfam says of the family: 5.8S ribosomal RNA (5.8S rRNA) is a component of the large subunit of the eukaryotic ribosome. It is transcribed by RNA polymerase I as part of the 45S precursor that also contains 18S and 28S rRNA. The record is from RNAcentral. Lineage: Eukaryota; Fungi; Ascomycota; Lecanoromycetes; Peltigerales; Peltigeraceae.
AAACUUUCAACAACGGAUCUCUUGGUUCCGGCAUCAAUAAAAAACGCACCGAAAUGCGAUAAGUAAUGUGGACCGCAGUACUCACCGACUCAUCAAAUCUUUGAACGCACAUUGCGCCCCUUGGUAUCACCAAAGGGCACACCUGUUCAAGCGUCAUCA